This 203-nucleotide long non-coding RNA is filed under the name Bemisia tabaci. RNAcentral's name for it is "lncRNA ENSSSA1NGG010798". The record is from RNAcentral. Lineage: Eukaryota; Metazoa; Arthropoda; Insecta; Hemiptera; Aleyrodidae.
UUUUUACAUCGUUUACAUGAAAGUAACGCGGCUCGUGUUAGAAUUUUAAAAAUUCGACUUUGGGUAAUUGAGGCAUUCUUUUGUUCAAUCAUCGAUCAAUGGAUAAUGUUUGUUACAUAUACGAUAUAAAAGUCACUUUUGUUCGAGUAUACCUUUACAUUAUGUCUCUAUUCAAGGAUGCAUACAAGGACACGAAUUCAUAA